RNAcentral lists this ribosomal RNA (253 nucleotides) under uncultured bacterium. Its description in RNAcentral is "partial 16S ribosomal RNA". It matches the Rfam family "Bacterial small subunit ribosomal RNA", at positions 524 to 776 of the family's 1533-position model. The record is from RNAcentral.
UACGUAGGGUGCAAGCGUUAAUCGGAAUUACUGGGCGUAAAGCGUGCGCAGGCGGCUUUGCAAGACAGAUGUGAAAUCCCCGGGCUUAACCUGGGAACUGCAUUUGUGACUGCAUGGCUGGAGUGCGGCAGAGGGGGAUGGAAUUCCGCGUGUAGCAGUGAAAUGCGUAGAUAUGCGGAGGAACACCGAUGGCGAAGGCAGUCCCCUGGGCCUGCACUGACGCUGAGACGCGAAAGCGUGGGGAGCGAACAGG